Long non-coding RNA from Cryptomeria japonica (Japanese cedar), 976 nucleotides. RefSeq lists it as uncharacterized. The transcript is spliced from 2 exons. NCBI's taxonomy places the organism in Eukaryota, Viridiplantae, Streptophyta, Pinopsida, Cupressales, Cupressaceae. The record is from RefSeq and is a predicted model, not a curated record.
CGGAAGCCGCGGCACCGUCUUCUUCGGCGAUGCAUCUCUUGAUCGAAAAAAUUCGAAGUAUAUCUCGACUGCAAACACUGUGACACGGGCAGCCCUUUCCCCUCGCAAUUCGUAAGCCAUUGCCAUGGCUUUCGUUCAUGUCGCCAUUUUCUCAAACAAGUAUGCAGAAUACAGGUAGUGUACCGCGACCUGCGAAAGAAUGGGUGUGUACUUAAAAGCUUUGGACAAACAUCAUCUCACUCGCGGUGGAGAGUGAGACUGCUGAAAAAUGGAGGGCGACACUUAGAAGGGUUUCGUACAAUUCCGGAUUUCAAUUUCAAUGUUGAAGUGUUCGAAAUAACAAGUGCGUGUUUCACGGGUCACGACGUGCUGUUGGAGGAGAUUGCAGAGUGUGCAGUGCAACAUGUCGAGGCCAAUCGCCUAUUUGAGGUCAGUAGAGUGGUAUCUUGCAUGUUCUGCAAUGCCCUUUGGAUAUUAAUAGCCCACCUUUGUCUCUUUCUAAUAGGAAAACUAAUUUAAGAACAGACCUUGCAUGACUGCGUUAAUGGUCAUACGAAAUGAUGUUGCUCAUAAGGCCAGGGUUUCUGCCCUUACGAGGAUAGCAGUUAUUCAUACUGGGCGAUUUUGACAUUGUAGAUUGCACUUUGAACUAGAAAGCUUUUUUACAGCAUAAAUUGUGCUUCAGCUAUGGCAGCAUGCGUUGCCUUUUGUCCUCGGGACAGUGUAUAUUGCCUCCCUCUGCCAUGGCAGCUUUCUGGCCUUGUGAUUUGCCCUGUCUUCGUGACAGAGAAUGAAUAAAUGGUUAUUCAAGCGUGACUGACACAAUUGUAGGAGUAAAUCCGCAAGGGUGGAUAAACUGGGAAUUUUCCCCUUUGCUAAAAGAUAAAUUAGGAAUAUAUGAUGCGUUUUCUGUAUUGAACUAAACAAAAAGUAUAAUCCCCUGGAGAUUAUCAUAAAGGUAUGGAUACACAUGAAA